RNAcentral lists this non-coding RNA (29 nucleotides) under Rattus norvegicus (Norway rat). Lineage: Eukaryota; Metazoa; Chordata; Mammalia; Rodentia; Muridae. The record is from RNAcentral.
UGAUCAACAGAGAAAGGAUAUCUAUUCGG